AGUGAACGCUGGCGGUAGGCCUAACACAUGCAAGUCGAACGGCAGCACAGGAGAGCUUGCUCUCUGGGUGGCGAGUGGCGGACGGGUGAGGAAUACAUCGGAAUCUACUCUGUCGUGGGGGAUAACGUAGGGAAACUUACGCUAAUACCGCAUACGACCUACGGGUGAAAGCAGGGGAUCUUCGGACCUUGCGCGAUUGAAUGAGCCGAUGUCGGAUUAGCUAGUUGGCGGGGUAAAGGCCCACCAAGGCGACGAUCCGUAGCUGGUCUGAGAGGAUGAUCAGCCACACUGGAACUGAGAAACGGUCCAGACUCCUACGGGAGGCAGCAGUGGGGAAUAUUGGACAAUGGGCGCAAGCCUGAUCCAGCCAUACCGCGUGGGUGAAGAAGGCCUUCGGGUUGUAAAGCCCUUUUGUUGGGAAAGAAAUCCAGCUGGCUAAUACCCGGUUGGGAUGACGGUACCCAAAGAAUAAGCACCGGCUAACUUCGUGCCAGCAGCCGCCGCAG
Molecule: ribosomal RNA, 506 nt
Filed under: uncultured bacterium
Lineage: Bacteria
Description: partial 16S ribosomal RNA
Rfam family: Bacterial small subunit ribosomal RNA
Source: RNAcentral